Molecule: long non-coding RNA, 155 nt
Organism: Ipomoea nil (Japanese morning glory)
Lineage: Eukaryota; Viridiplantae; Streptophyta; Magnoliopsida; Solanales; Convolvulaceae
Exons: 3
Source: RefSeq, a predicted model, not a curated record
CGCGGGUGGAGGUGCUCAUCUACCCGCGGGUUGGUGAGCAUGCAGAAUGAAGAAGAAGAUGGUUCCCGUUUGGCUUAUGAGUUGAGCAUAGCCAAAGUUGGCGUUGUUUUUGGAUGUUAAGCGAAUGAGGUGAUGUCUAGGCGAGUGCGCAGUCU